RNAcentral lists this ribosomal RNA (153 nucleotides) under Chelonoidis abingdonii (Abingdon island giant tortoise). RNAcentral's name for it is "5.8S ribosomal RNA (ENSCABG00000011481.1)". It matches the Rfam family "5.8S ribosomal RNA". Rfam says of the family: 5.8S ribosomal RNA (5.8S rRNA) is a component of the large subunit of the eukaryotic ribosome. Lineage: Eukaryota; Metazoa; Chordata; Testudines; Testudinidae. The record is from Rfam by way of RNAcentral.
AACUCUUAGCGAGUGAUCACUCGGUCGUGCGUUCGAUGCAAGAACGCAGCUAGCAUGCGAAAUUAAAUGUGAAUUGCAGGAACAUUGUCAUCGACACUUCGAAACGGCACUUGCCCCCGGAGUCUCCUCCCGGAGCUCGCCGUCUGAGCGUCG